This 201-nucleotide long non-coding RNA is filed under the name Ananas comosus (pineapple). Its description in RNAcentral is "long non-coding RNA (ACOM_LNC024237)". Lineage: Eukaryota; Viridiplantae; Streptophyta; Magnoliopsida; Poales; Bromeliaceae. The record is from RNAcentral.
UAUUUACACUACAUUAAUGCCACUCGUCAUCAUUUAACAUUUGAAUGCCACUCGUUUGUUCUUCGACAUUACACUACUUUCUAUAUCAUCAACACCCCCAUCGAGUACAUCUCUUUUCUUUCGCAUUAUAGGAUCCACGUUCCGACCCAAUCCUCACCUAUCUAGGUCACCAAGCGUUCCAAGUACACUAGGUUAUCAAUU